RNAcentral lists this ribosomal RNA (253 nucleotides) under uncultured bacterium. RNAcentral's name for it is "partial 16S ribosomal RNA". It matches the Rfam family "Bacterial small subunit ribosomal RNA", at positions 524 to 776 of the family's 1533-position model. The record is from RNAcentral.
GACGAACUGCCCAAACGUUGUUCGGAAUCACUGGGCUUAAAGGGCGCGUAGGCGGCAGAUCAAGUCAGGGGUGAAAUCCGGCAGCUCAACUGUCGAAGUGCCUUUGAUACUGAUUUGCUCGAGGGAUAUAGGGGUCUGUGGAACUUCUGGUGGAGCGGUGAAAUGCGUUGAUAUCAGAAGGAACGCCGGUGGCGAAAGCGACGGACUGGAUAUCUUCUGACGCUGAGGCGCGAAAGCUAGGGGAGCAAACGGG